CAGAGUUUAGUUUAAAAAAAAUUUAGGCUUUGGAAGCUUAAGAUAGAGUUUAUAUCUUUAUCUCUGA
RNAcentral lists this transfer RNA (67 nucleotides) under Leptomithrax sp. QNL-2021. Its description in RNAcentral is "tRNA-Pro". It matches the Rfam family "tRNA". From Rfam's summary of the family: Transfer RNA (tRNA) molecules are approximately 80 nucleotides in length. Their secondary structure includes four short double-helical elements and three loops (D, anti-codon, and T loops). Further hydrogen bonds mediate the characteristic L-shaped molecular structure. tRNAs have two regions of fundamental functional importance: the anti-codon, which is responsible for specific mRNA codon recognition, and the 3' end, to which the tRNAs corresponding amino acid is attached (by aminoacyl-tRNA synthetases). tRNAs cope with the degeneracy of the genetic code in two manners: having more than one tRNA (with a specific anti-codon) for a particular amino acid; and 'wobble' base-pairing, i.e. permitting non-standard base-pairing at the 3rd anti-codon position. Lineage: Eukaryota; Metazoa; Arthropoda; Malacostraca; Decapoda; Majidae. The record is from RNAcentral.